GGUCAAGCGAAUAAGCGCACAUGGUGGAUGCCUUGGCGGUCAGAGGCGAUGAAGGACGUGGUAGCCUGCGAAAAGUGUCGGGGAGCUGGCAACAAGCUUUGAUCCGGCAAUAUCCGAAUGGGGGAACCCACUGUUUAGGCGGUAUCUUUGAGUAAAUUCAUAGCUCAAGGAGGCGAACCUGGUGAACUGAAAUAUCUAAGUAACCAGAGGAAAAGAAAUCAACAGAGAUUCCCUGAGUAGUGACGAGCGAACGGGGAUUAGCCCUUAAGCUAGUAUGGUUUUAGGAAAGCAAUCUGGGAAGGUUGGCCAUAGAAGGUGAUAGCCCUGUAUCCGAAAGGGCCGUACUAGUGAAGAUGAGUAGGACGGGGCACGUGAAACCUUGUCUGAAUAUGGGGGGUCCAUCCUCCAAGGCUAAAUACUCCUGACCGACCGAUAGUGAACUAGUACCGUGAGGGAAAGGCGAAAAGAACC
This 471-nucleotide ribosomal RNA is filed under the name Xylella fastidiosa. Its description in RNAcentral is "bacterial LSU rRNA". It matches the Rfam family "Bacterial large subunit ribosomal RNA", at positions 1 to 525 of the family's 2925-position model. Lineage: Bacteria; Pseudomonadati; Pseudomonadota; Gammaproteobacteria; Lysobacterales; Lysobacteraceae. The record is from RNAcentral.